UAGAAAAUAGAAACUAAUGAGGCGGGAGCAGCGACAUUACAGAGAAGGAAUUAUGAGACGAGAAGCCAAUGGGGCAUACGUUACGAAAAAGGAAUUAAUGAGACGGAAAGCUGAAGAAGCAGAGGUUACAGGAAAGGAAUUAAUGAAAUGGAAAACCGAAGAAGCAGACGUUACGAGGAAGGUGAGCAAUCGCAAUGAUUGGAGAGUAGAAAUUUUGAGAAGGAGAGACUAUGAUGUUGACACGUGACAAAAGCUUAUGAGAAAUAAUGUAUGUGUAUAGAUGUGUGUAAUUUCGAAGGUAUCUAUGAAAUGAAUCGAUCAAGCAUUAA
Molecule: long non-coding RNA, 329 nt
Filed under: Ananas comosus (pineapple)
Lineage: Eukaryota; Viridiplantae; Streptophyta; Magnoliopsida; Poales; Bromeliaceae
Description: long non-coding RNA (ACOM_LNC005733)
Source: RNAcentral